Molecule: RNA transcript, 581 nt
Organism: Lycium barbarum (goji berry)
Lineage: Eukaryota; Viridiplantae; Streptophyta; Magnoliopsida; Solanales; Solanaceae
Exons: 3
Source: RefSeq, a predicted model, not a curated record
ACAAGUAAUGAACGGAAAUUGACUAGUCAAAAAUGCCAAAACCUAGUCCUAAUGCCUCCGGCCGCCACAGCCCUCCACAUUUCCUUCCUCCUUUUGUCAAUUCCACCAAACACAAAUCUUUAUUACUCCAUAUCAAAAGAUUAUAAGGGGUUCUUUGGUGUUAUGCAAUGGAGAUGGCUAAUUGAUUUUUUUAAUUACACAAUGGAAAGGCAAAAAUGUUGUAUAUAUUUUAAGGGAUGGUUCCUCUUGUAUUACAUCUACAUCAACAAGAUCUUCAUAGCUGCUUUUGAUAUGUGAUUCAGGAGAUGCUUUUGAUGGAAUUAAUCUUGCUCUUUUUUUAAGGCAAAUUUAUGAAAUUACUAGAGCAGCAAUGACAAACUGGAGCGGAUAUUGAUCAAAUUAAGAUGCAAUUAGAGGUUGUGUAGGAGGAGAGAAAUCAGAAGAUCGUGCAGGUUCGAGUCUCAAGCAAUAUAAUGCUAUUGUAAUCGGUGGCAUAGAUGAAUUGUGUAUUGUGAAUGCUUGAAAUUUAGAUAUGUAACAACGUGUAACUUGAGACCUAUUUUGGAAUCCAAAAAUUUUGU